GCUGGGCAUGGUGGUGCAUGCUUGUAAUCCCAGCAACUCGAGAGGCUGAGGCAGGAGGAUUGCAAGUUUGAGACCAACCUCAGCAACUUAGUGAGGCCCUAAGGAAUUAGCAAGACCCUGUCUCAA
RNAcentral lists this small RNA (126 nucleotides) under Marmota monax (woodchuck). The record is from RNAcentral. Lineage: Eukaryota; Metazoa; Chordata; Mammalia; Rodentia; Sciuridae.